RNAcentral lists this ribosomal RNA (497 nucleotides) under uncultured bacterium. RNAcentral's name for it is "partial 16S ribosomal RNA". It matches the Rfam family "Bacterial small subunit ribosomal RNA", at positions 28 to 507 of the family's 1533-position model. The record is from RNAcentral.
GAUGAACGCUGGCGGCGUGCCUAAUACAUGCAAGUCGAGCGAACAGACGAGGAGCUUGCUCCUCUGACGUUAGCGGCGGACGGGUGAGUAACACGUGGAUAACCUACCUAUAAGACUGGGAUAACUUCGGGAAACCGGAGCUAAUACCGGAUAAUAUAUUGAACCGCAUGGUUCAAUAGUGAAAGACGGUUUUGCUGUCACUUAUAGAUGGAUCCGCGCCGCAUUAGCUAGUUGGUAAGGUAACGGCUUACCAAGGCAACGAUGCGUAGCCGACCUGAGAGGGUGAUCGGCCACACUGGAGCUGAGACACGGUCCAGACUCCUACGGGAGGCAGCAGUAGGGAAUCUUCCGCAAUGGGCGAAAGCCUGACGGAGCAACGCCGCGUGAGUGAUGAAGGUCUUCGGAUCGUAAAACUCUGUUAUUAGGGAAGAACAAAUGUGUAAGUAACUAUGCACGUCUUGACGGUACCUAACCAGAAAGCCACGGCUAACUACGUG